Molecule: ribosomal RNA, 460 nt
Filed under: uncultured bacterium
Lineage: Bacteria
Description: partial 16S ribosomal RNA
Rfam family: Bacterial small subunit ribosomal RNA
Source: RNAcentral
CCUACGGGUGGCAGCAGUGAGGAAUAUUGGUCAAUGGGCGGAAGCCUGAACCAGCCAAGCCGCGUGAGGGAAUAAGGCCCUACGGGUUGUAAACCUCUUUUGCCGGGGAGCAAGGGCCGGGACGCGUACCGGCCCGGAGAGUACCCGGAGAAAAAGCAUCGGCUAACUCGGUGCCAGCAGCCGCGGUAAUAGGGAGGAUGCGGGCGUUAUCCGGAUUUAUGGGGUUUAAAGGGUGCGUAGGCGGGCUUUUAAGUAAGCGGUAAAAAUUCGGGGCUCACCCCCGGCCGGCCGUUGAUACUGGGGGCCUUGAGAGUGCGUGCAGAAGGCGGAAUGCGUGGUGUAGCGGUGAAAUGCAGAGAUAUCACGCAGAACCCCGAUUGCGAAGGCAGCCUUCCGGCGCCCUACUGACGCUGAGGCACGAAAGUGCGGGGAUCGAACAGGAUUAGAUACCCUUGUAGUC